This 45-nucleotide non-coding RNA is filed under the name Schistosoma curassoni. Lineage: Eukaryota; Metazoa; Platyhelminthes; Trematoda; Strigeidida; Schistosomatidae. The record is from RNAcentral.
AUCUAGCUGACGAGUCCUGAAUAGGACGAAACGCGUGUCCUGCAN